RNAcentral lists this non-coding RNA (203 nucleotides) under Antarctobacter heliothermus. Lineage: Bacteria; Pseudomonadati; Pseudomonadota; Alphaproteobacteria; Rhodobacterales; Roseobacteraceae. The record is from RNAcentral.
CGCCACUCUGGCGACGAUGGUGACCGCGUUCUGCGCGGUCGAAUAGGGAAUACGGUGCGGGGCAGGGCCCCAAUGCCGUGACUGCCCCCGCAACUGUAAGCGGCGAGCCAUCCCGUAAACGCCACUGGACCCUCGGUCCGGGAAGGUUCGGGACUGUGCCUUGACCCGCAAGUCAGGAGACCUGCCAUCGUCGGGCCCAUCCG